This 97-nucleotide transfer RNA is filed under the name Lactuca sativa (garden lettuce). Its description in RNAcentral is "tRNA-Val". The stretch from base 25 to 97 matches the Rfam family "tRNA". Rfam says of the family: Transfer RNA (tRNA) molecules are approximately 80 nucleotides in length. Their secondary structure includes four short double-helical elements and three loops (D, anti-codon, and T loops). The record is from RNAcentral. Lineage: Eukaryota; Viridiplantae; Streptophyta; Magnoliopsida; Asterales; Asteraceae.
UCUAUUUCUCGAUGGGGGCAGGGAAGGGAUAUAACUCACCGGUAGAGUGUCACCCUUGACGUGGUGGAAGUCAUCAGUUCGAGCCUGAUUAUCCCUA